Molecule: ribosomal RNA, 253 nt
Filed under: uncultured bacterium
Lineage: Bacteria
Description: partial 16S ribosomal RNA
Rfam family: Bacterial small subunit ribosomal RNA
Source: RNAcentral
UACAGAGGUCUCAAGCGUUGUUCGGAUUCAUUGGGCGUAAAGGGUGCGUAGGCGGCGCGGUAAGUCGGGUGUGAAAUCUCGGAGCUUAACUCCGAAACUGCAUUCGAUACUGCCGUGCUUGAGGACUGGAGAGGAGACUGGAAUUUACGGUGUAGCGGUGAAAUGCGUAGAUAUCGUAAGGAAGACCAGUGGCGAAGGCGAGUCUCUGGACGACCCCUGACGCUGAGGCACGAAAGCUAGGGGAGCAAACAGG